Molecule: non-coding RNA, 452 nt
Organism: Microcebus murinus (gray mouse lemur)
Lineage: Eukaryota; Metazoa; Chordata; Mammalia; Primates; Cheirogaleidae
Source: RefSeq, a predicted model, not a curated record
GAUGGUAUUUUCUCUUUGACUUGUAGACAGAUAUGUUUUGGCCGUGUACUCACAUUGCCUUUUCUCCAUGCAUGCAGAAAGAGAAAGAAUCCUGGAGUCUCUUUCUUUUCUUAUGAGGACAUCAGUGCUGUCUAAUUCCAUUCUUAUGAGCUCAUUUAACCUUAAUUUCCUCCCUUAAGGACCUAUCUUCAAAUAUAGCCACAUUGGAGUCAGGGUUUCAACACAUGAAUUCUGGGGAAAGACAAUUCAAUCAAUAAUAGAGCUUGCAGGACAAGAACUCAGUCUCAUCACCAUCUAAGAGCUGUUUCAACUGGGCAAUGUUAAUUUCUACUGGUGCAGCUAAGAAGGACUAAGAAGAGAAUUUGAAAGAUAGCUAUGAGCUACAACUUACAGGAUAUUAGAAAGCUUCUCAAUUUGAGAGAAUGACCAAAAUUUUGGACAUUGACACCACU